CAGAAGCUCGUUCGAUAACACGGGCUAUCAAAAACAUAUCGGAACUCACUAUGUUCGACAUUUGGAUUCUGAUGCUCCAACUCCAGGUUGCAUCCCGAAGAUCAGAAACUGGAACAUAAUCUUUUAGAGAUGUGCGGAAUCUAGCUGGAAGAAACGCAAAGGCGCAGGACCUGUGUCCAACAGGGAUUGCUCUUCGUUGCUCAGAGGAGAGAAGCCAACUUCAAAACAAGAUAAAGCACUCGCGCUGCUCAAAUCCAAGCUCCUGGCGUGGAGAGCUGGCUGCAUGACUGCUCAUUCAACGAGCGCGCUUUAGACGCUACAGAGCUUGAUGGAGGAAGGAGGAUA
Long non-coding RNA from Selaginella moellendorffii, 345 nucleotides. RefSeq lists it as uncharacterized. The transcript has 4 exons. The record is from RefSeq and is a predicted model, not a curated record. Lineage: Eukaryota; Viridiplantae; Streptophyta; Lycopodiopsida; Selaginellales; Selaginellaceae.